Molecule: long non-coding RNA, 244 nt
Organism: Lytechinus variegatus (green sea urchin)
Lineage: Eukaryota; Metazoa; Echinodermata; Echinoidea; Temnopleuroida; Toxopneustidae
Exons: 3
Source: RefSeq, a predicted model, not a curated record
AUGCCUAGCUGGAUAUACUGGUAAUGGAUUUGACUGCGUUGAUAUCGACGAAUGUACAUCGGGCACCCACGUCUGUCAUGUCAACGCCGAGUGUGUGAACAACAUAGGAAGUUAUACGUGUGUAUGCCUAGCUGGAUAUACUGGUAAUGGAUUUGACUGCGUUGAUAUCGACGAAUGUACAUCGGGCACCCACGUCUGUCAUGUCAACGCCGAGUGUGUGAACAACAUAGGAAGUUAUACGUGU